This 436-nucleotide ribosomal RNA is filed under the name Bacillus sp. (in: firmicutes). RNAcentral's name for it is "bacterial SSU rRNA". It matches the Rfam family "Bacterial small subunit ribosomal RNA", at positions 39 to 465 of the family's 1533-position model. Lineage: Bacteria; Bacillati; Bacillota; Bacilli; Caryophanales; Bacillaceae. The record is from RNAcentral.
GCGGCGUGCCUAAUACAUGCAAGUCGAGCGAAUCGAUGGGAGCUUGCUCCCUGAGAUUAGCGGCGGACGGGUGAGUAACACGUGGGCAACCUGCCUAUAAGACUGGGAUAACUUCGGGAAACCGGAGCUAAUACCGGAUACGUUCUUUUCUCGCAUGAGAGAAGAUGGAAAGACGGUUUACGCUGUCACUUAUAGAUGGGCCCGCGGCGCAUUAGCUAGUUGGUGAGGUAAUGGCUCACCAAGGCGACGAUGCGUAGCCGACCUGAGAGGGUGAUCGGCCACACUGGGACUGAGACACGGCCCAGACUCCUACGGGAGGCAGCAGUAGGGAAUCUUCCGCAAUGGACGAAAGUCUGACGGAGCAACGCCGCGUGAACGAAGAAGGCCUUCGGGUCGUAAAGUUCUGUUGUUAGGGAAGAACAAGUACCAGAGUAAC